Molecule: ribosomal RNA, 483 nt
Filed under: Klebsiella pneumoniae IS22
Lineage: Bacteria; Pseudomonadati; Pseudomonadota; Gammaproteobacteria; Enterobacterales; Enterobacteriaceae
Description: SSU rRNA
Rfam family: Bacterial small subunit ribosomal RNA
Source: RNAcentral
ACGGCCGCAAGGUUAAAACUCAAAUGAAUUGACGGGGGCCCGCACAAGCGGUGGAGCAUGUGGUUUAAUUCGAUGCAACGCGAAGAACCUUACCUGGUCUUGACAUCCACAGAACUUUCCAGAGAUGGAUUGGUGCCUUCGGGAACUGUGAGACAGGUGCUGCAUGGCUGUCGUCAGCUCGUGUUGUGAAAUGUUGGGUUAAGUCCCGCAACGAGCGCAACCCUUAUCCUUUGUUGCCAGCGGUUCGGCCGGGAACUCAAAGGAGACUGCCAGUGAUAAACUGGAGGAAGGUGGGGAUGACGUCAAGUCAUCAUGGCCCUUACGACCAGGGCUACACACGUGCUACAAUGGCAUAUACAAAGAGAAGCGACCUCGCGAGAGCAAGCGGACCUCAUAAAGUAUGUCGUAGUCCGGAUUGGAGUCUGCAACUCGACUCCAUGAAGUCGGAAUCGCUAGUAAUCGUAGAUCAGAAUGCUACGGUGA